ACAGCCGCCCUGCCUGCCUGUGCUCCUGGGAGGGUGGAGACGUGGAGACCCAAGCCUGCGAUUCCCCAACACGUGGGCCCUCGCUCCCCAGCCGAUGUCACUCCCCGGGGCCGACUCCUGAGACAUGACACUCCUGGGGUUGACAUCACUCCCGGCAGGAAGAAGGGGCUGACGUCACUCCCGGGGCCCACGUCACUGAGCGCUCUGUCUCUCCAUCCUGCUGCAUCCAGCGAGGACAGCAGAGUCCCCCGUGCAGAUCUACGGUUGCCGGUAACAGAAACAGACACUGACCGGCUUGAGCCCAACCCACGGUCUAAACGACUGGCCUCGGAUUUGUGGACAGGAUGUGGGCAGGUCACCGUGUCCAAGGAACACGGGAGAUCCAGGCUCAGGAGGAUCGGGAGUCAGGGCAGCCCAGGGAUCUCGGGGCCAGAGACCACCACUCGGCCUCUCCAGGGGAAGGGUCGUGCCACGGGUGUCCUCUCAGCCACCGCCCACCUUUGCACCUGCCCCGAGGCAGCCUCAGACUCUGGGGAGGGAAACGUGGUCAGCCUUGCUGGGACCCUGCAUGCGCCCCGGCCGGGCAAGGGCAGCAGCAAGAUGAGUUCCAGAAGCAAGCAGCCGUUGAGGGACGCUGCCUCAGCUGAUGAAGGCACCAGUGGGGGAGCUGAGCAGAUGGAAGCAUCAGCCGCCAGCUCGGCUCCCCCGCCUCCAAUUCCCUGCCUGAGCCCCUGCAGGUCCGAGGUGGAUAAGAGCGGGGCGUGUGGGCAGGAGGGAUGCAGGAGCCCAUGUGGCAGAGUGGGUGUCCACCCUGGGCGAGCCCAGACCUGCAGGGGGCCCUCCACCUCCGGCCCAGGCUGUUCAGUCUGGGGCCUUGACCCUGGUCCUGGGGAAAGUUUCCUUUUCCCACAGAGACUGGGUGGGGGGAGGCCGUGUUUGUCCCGAUUCUCAUCUAGCUGGGUCCUGCCCUGGCCCCACGUUAUUCCUAGUGAUUCACGGUGA
RNAcentral lists this long non-coding RNA (1002 nucleotides) under Canis lupus familiaris (dog). Its description in RNAcentral is "lncRNA (ENSCAFG00030021177.1)". The record is from RNAcentral. Lineage: Eukaryota; Metazoa; Chordata; Mammalia; Carnivora; Canidae.